RNAcentral lists this long non-coding RNA (785 nucleotides) under Equus caballus (horse). Its description in RNAcentral is "lncRNA (ENSECAG00000046433.1)". The record is from RNAcentral. Lineage: Eukaryota; Metazoa; Chordata; Mammalia; Perissodactyla; Equidae.
CAACAUACGAGAAACUUUUGGGCCCAAGGAAAGACACGAUGACUAUCUAGAUGUGAUUGUGACUGGCUUAGUAGAGGAAUUCACAUUUCUAGAGAUGAUUUGUGGACUUGGGACAAUUUUGGGCAGGAUCCUAGGAUGAAUUAUUAUGGAAGUAACUUCAACCUUUCUACCUUAAUUGUUUCUGCUCAAAGCUAUGACUUGACUCCCUGUAAGGCAGAGCAGAAACACACCCCCAAAAAUCCCAACAACUGAUCUGACUACCUGUGGACUCAGACAGACUCAUUUGGGUUCCAGCUUUACCACUGUAUCAUGAGAGGAAGGAGUGCAAGUUACAUUAUCUCUUUACCACAUUUUCCAUUAUCCUGGAAUCUCCUGGUGGGCCCAAUCUAACUACAAGAGCUCUUAAAAUCAAAAAAGAGAGGCAGAAGAGUGGGUCAGAGAGAUGAGAUGGAAAAAGGAGGAGAGAUUUUCAACACAACAGGAAUUUGACCGAAAGUUACUGGCUUUGAAGAUGGAAGAAGGGAGACACAAGCCAAGGAAGGCAGGUGACGUCUAAAAGCUGGGAUUGGACCUGAGCUGACAGCUGGCAAAAAACAAGCAUCUCAAUACUAUAACUUUAAGGAACUGGAUUUGCCAACAAUCUGAAUGAACAAGGAAAAAGAUCCUCCCCCAAAAUCUCCAGGCAGGAAGACAGCCCUGACAGCACCUGGAUUUGAGCCUGGUGAGACCUGUGUCAGAAUUCUAUGUAUGGAACUGUAAGAUAAUAAAUCUGUUGUCUUAAAACA